GACGAACGCUGGCGGCGUGCUUAACACAUGCAAGUCGAACGGAAAGGCCCUGCUUUUGUGGGGUGCUCGAGUGGCGAACGGGUGAGUAACACGUGAGUAACCUGCCCUUGACUUUGGGAUAACUUCAGGAAAAUGGGGCUAAUACCGGAUAGGAGCUCCUGCUGCAUGGUGGGGGUUGGAAAGUUUCGGCGGUUGGGGAUGGACUCGCGGCUUAUCAGCUUGUUGGUGGGGUAGUGGCUUACCAAGGCUUCGACGGGUAGCCGGCCUGAGAGGGUGACCGGCGACAUGGGGACUGAGAUACGGCCCAGACUCCUACGGGAGGCAGCAGUGGGGAAUAUUGCACAAUGGGCGGAAGCCUGAUGUAGCAACGCCGCGUGCGGGAUGACGGGUUUCGGGUUGUAAACCGAUUUGGCCUGUGAUGAGGCGUGAUUGACGGUAAUGGGUAAAGAAGCACCGGCUAACUACGUG
This 468-nucleotide ribosomal RNA is filed under the name uncultured bacterium. Its description in RNAcentral is "partial 16S ribosomal RNA". It matches the Rfam family "Bacterial small subunit ribosomal RNA", at positions 28 to 507 of the family's 1533-position model. The record is from RNAcentral.